UGCUGCCUCAGCAAUCACCACCUGGCUCUCUGCAAUGGGGAAAGAACUGGUUGCCUCCCGUGUUUUGCCAAAUCUCGUGCUAAGAAUUAGGGCACCAGAGGGGUUGCAGCAGGUGUUCAGAACCAGCUGAGCAUUUGCUUGUUCCACUUUGGGAAUACAGAAGAAAAUGUGAAGCUGAAGUGGCUCUUAAUAACUGCAGAGACUGAAGCACAGUCAAAGGGGUAAAAUGCAGAGCAUGAAGCUGACACAGAGGCAUUCUUCCCCAAGAAGUCAAGUGGACAUAGAGUGACAGCCACGUGGUGCUUUGGUGCCAUGCAGGGCAUGGAGGGAAGAGAUCACACAACCCAGACUGGUCAAUCACUUUGAAAAACAGGAAAUCAGCUGAGUAUUAUCCCUAUGAGACACACGUGCAGUGCUUGAUUCACAGCUCUUUUACUACAGAAGAGUCAAGAAGUGUGCCUUGGAGGUGAUGUCAAGAGUUACGGAUCAAUUAACCUUGGAUGGCAGCACAUAUGGCAGCACUUAUGGCAGUCUCUGAGCACCUCAGGUCAUCAUCUCUGUGUUGGUUGUGCUCAUGCCAGAGAUUGCUAAGAAACCUGACUACAGUUUGCAAAACCCCCAGACACUGAAACAAGCACCACAGAAUAAUCAGUGCUAUCUGCAAACUUCAUAUUCUGCUGUGAAAGUUCUUAAAAAAAUUGAGUAGUAGCCAUCUCAAGAGAGACAUCUUCAAAAGUCAAUCGGCAUGAUGUCUUCCAUUUUGACACCAACCAUUAAUAAACACUUUUAGUGGUUACCAAAUGCUCAAGAUUUAUACUCUUUAAUAAAAAUCUCUGUAUGACAGGUUUUUCUCCUAACUUGUUUUCAGAAAGAUUAUAUAAAACUGUCAAACCUUUCUAAAGUGAGGAUAUGACAUAUACUGCUCCUGCUUUUUUUCUCUUAUGGAACACUUAAAUCAAAUUUACAAACUCUAAACUGGCUGGUCUACUUGUCAUCAUCCAGGUGUCUGUAAAUUACAGUUUGAUCAUUUAUUGCUAUAUUUUUUUCCUGAAACCCCAUUCUUGCUAGCAUCUAACUCCCAGCACUUCCUUUAUUAUUUCUUUAAAACUUGCAAUAUAUUUGCUCAUUUGCAGUCUUUUGGACCACAUCUGUUCUCUGUGAACUCUGAAAAUUGUUGGUGGGUUUUGUUUGAGAUUGUUUCAGUCAGUUGUCUAAAUGCUUUGCCAUGAGGCUUAUGAGGCUCAGCCAAUUUUGAAGUCCACACCUUAGGUAGAAUCAGAGAUGUGCAAGAAAAAGACAAGGGACAACAGGUACAGGUUGCACUUAGGGGGAAAAAAAUCACAGCAAGAGUUCCCAUAAGCACUUGAACAGGUUUCUCAGUGAGGUUGUGGAAUUUCUAUCUGGGUAACAUGGGGAAAUGUUGAAGCUGGCCCUGUUUUGAAAGGGGUAGGGACUAGAUCACCACAGAAGGCUCUGCAGUGUACAUUAUUCUAAUACUCUGUAUUGAUUUUAUCACUCUUCUUUUUUCCUCUGAAGUUCAAAGUUAGACUGAUUUUUGUCUCUGAUCAGUGGACAUGAUCAAGCCAGAUGUAAUCAUAACAAAAUAAUGGUUUAGUAACAACUGAGCUUGUUGAUGAGCUAUCAUCAUUUUCUGCCACCGUCCUUUAUACUCAAUGACAGCACCAGUACCCAGUCCCUCUGUGCCAUUUGUUAUUGUUCAUCAGCUGGGUUCCCAACUCUUCUGGGAAUAAAAUAUGUAGGUGACAUUAGUGACAAAUAUUUUUAAAUUGUAUCACUGUGGUUAUAAGAUGGUGUCUCAUGUUUCUAAGGCUUUCUCUUAGAAUUUGCUUUUAUUGUUUUUCAUAUCCAUCUCAUAUUUCAUCUAAUUAGUUUCCAGUACUAUGCUAUCAUGUAUGGCAAGGAAAAGGGUUUUCUGUGUGUGUGUUUAAAGCCUUUGUGUGCUUUAUCACAGGCCUAGGCAAACAAUAAUUAGCAUCAGUUGAUUAAACAGAUAAGCCAAAGAACUCUCCUUCAUCUGUAUAAGGUCAUUUAUCUCAAAGCACAUCUCCCCUAGGGAGAUGUACUGGGAGGUCAGCCCAUGCUGUGCCAUGAAGAGAUCCAUCACUAACACUCUAACUAAAACCAAGUUGUUACUUUCUCCUUCUUUAGUGUACUUAGUCAUGGCACAAAGAGGACCUGUGACCUGCUGAGUUUCACACCUAUUUAAGAGUCUUAAAGUUGAACUGGCAUUACAGUAUUU
This is a non-coding RNA of Lonchura striata (white-rumped munia), 2260 nucleotides long. The record is from RefSeq and is a predicted model, not a curated record. Lineage: Eukaryota; Metazoa; Chordata; Aves; Passeriformes; Estrildidae.